RNAcentral lists this ribosomal RNA (465 nucleotides) under uncultured bacterium. Its description in RNAcentral is "partial 16S ribosomal RNA". It matches the Rfam family "Bacterial small subunit ribosomal RNA", at positions 339 to 795 of the family's 1533-position model. The record is from RNAcentral.
CUACGGGAGGCUCCAGUGAGGAAUUUUGCGCAAUGGGGGAAACCCUGACGCAGCAACGCCGCGUGAGUGAAGAAGGCCCUUGGGUCGUAAAGCUCUGUCAAUGGGGAAGAAGUUAUUAUGUGUUAAUAGCACAUUUUAUUGACGGUACCCAUGAAGGAAGCACCGGCUAACUCCGUGCCAGCAGCCGCGGUAAUACGGGGGGUGCAAGCGUUAUUCGGAAUUAUUGGGCGUAAAGGGCACGCAGGCGGUCCUGUCAGUCAGAUGUGAAAGCCCGGGGCUCAACCCCGGACGUGCAUUUGAAACAGCAGGACUUGAGUACGGGAGAGGAAAGGGGAAUUCCUGGUGUAGAGGUGAAAUGCGUAGAUAUCAGGAGGAACACCGGUGGCGAAGGCGCCUUUCUGGACCGAUACUGACGCUGAGGUGCGAAGGCGUGGGUAGCGAACGGGAUUAGAUACCCGCGUAGUC